RNAcentral lists this ribosomal RNA (497 nucleotides) under uncultured bacterium. RNAcentral describes it as "partial 16S ribosomal RNA". It matches the Rfam family "Bacterial small subunit ribosomal RNA", at positions 28 to 507 of the family's 1533-position model. The record is from RNAcentral.
GACGAACGCUGGCGGCGUGCCUAAUACAUGCAAGUUGAGCGAUGAAGAUUGGUGCUUGCACCAAUUUGAAGAGCAGCGAACGGGUGAGUAACGCGUGGGGAAUCUGCCUUUGAGCGGGGGACAACAUUGGGAAACGAAUGCUAAUACCGCAUAACAACUUUAAACAUAAGUUUUAAGUUUGAAAGAUGCAAUUGCAUCACUCAAAGAUGAUCCCGCGUUGUAUUAGCUAGUUGGUGAGGUAAAGGCGCACCAAGGCGAUGAUACAUAGCCGACCUGAGAGGGUGAGCGGCCACAUUGGGACUGGGACACGGCCCAAACUCCUACGGGAGGCAGCAGGAGGGAAUCUUCGGCAAUGGACGAAAGUCUGACCGAGCAACGCCGCGGGAGUGAAGAAGGUUGUCGGAUCGUAAAACUCUGUUGGUAGAGAAGAACGUUGGUGAGAGUGGAAAGCUCAUCAAGUGACGGUAACUACCCAGAAAGGGACGGCUAACUACGUG